UGCUGGAGGUAUCAGAAGUGCGAAUGCUGACAUAAGUAACGAUAAUGCGGGUGAAAAACCCGCACGCCGGAAGACCAAGGGUUCCUGUCCAACGUUAAUCGGGGCAGGGUGAGUCGACCCCUAAGGCGAGGCCGAAAGGCGUAGUCGAUGGGAAACAGGUUAAUAUUCCUGUACUUGGUGUUACUGCGAAGGGGGGACGGAGAAGGCUAUGUUAGCCGGGCGACGGUUGUCCCGGUUUAAGCAUGUAGGCGGAGGUUCCAGGUAAAUCCGGUACCUUUUUAACGCUGAGGUGUGAUGACGAGGCACUACGGUGCUGAAGUAACAAAUGCCCUGCUUCCAGGAAAAGCCUCUAAGCAUCAGGUAACACGAAAUCGUACCCCAAACCGACACAGGUGGUCAGGUAGAGAAUACCAAGGCGCUUGAGAGAACUCGGGUGAAGGAACUAGGCAAAAUGGUGCCGUAACUUCGGGAGAAGGCACGCUGAUAUGUAGGUGAAGUGAUUUACUCAUGGAGCUGAAAUCAGUCGAAGAUACCAGCUGGCUGCAACUGUUUAUUAAAAACACAGCACUGUGCAAACACGAAAGU
This 585-nucleotide ribosomal RNA is filed under the name Citrobacter freundii. Its description in RNAcentral is "partial 23S ribosomal RNA". It matches the Rfam family "Bacterial large subunit ribosomal RNA", at positions 1271 to 1838 of the family's 2925-position model. The record is from RNAcentral. Lineage: Bacteria; Pseudomonadati; Pseudomonadota; Gammaproteobacteria; Enterobacterales; Enterobacteriaceae.